CCUUCACCAACACUUUGUCACUGUACGUCACUAAAAAAUAUUAGAUGUUUUUUGAUUCAAACAACUGUUUUGUUCUAGGUGAGAAAAUCAGUUUUGCAGCCUGCAGAUAAAAGAAAAAAUCAAACACAGUAAACAAAGUAAACAACAUCAUUCAGACAUGUGAGUGUCAACAGUUUUGGUCAGAGAAGUUCAGGGGGUGAAGUAUUUUGCAAUGUAUUCAUUUUGAUGAUAUUAAGAUCAGGGAAUUUGUAAAUCAGAAGCAUGGCUGACUUGAAAGGCAGGCACACUGUGGUGCUUUGCAAAGCGAGUAAAGGCCCGUCUCUGAUAGGAUAACAAAAGUUCUGUUGAGUCAGUAUUCCCAUUAUGUCCUCUGCCGACAAAAGGCUUCAGAAAUCUACUGAAAUGAGUGACGUCUCCGAGAAUCAGCCAUGUAUUACGUAGUCCAUGGAACAGGAUUGUAUGUCAGUUACUGCUAUUUACAUACAGCAGCCUGAUGGCAGAAAGAACAGGAAUUAUCAUUUAUCUUUCUUCGGGGGGCAAGAUGUAACUGUGGGGAUGAAUUAAAAGAAAGAAAAUGAUAAUUCCUUAAGCUGUCUGGACCACCUGAUUUUUUCAGGUCAAGUAUAGCUGAAUUAUAAAUGUUUUGAAGCAGAUAUGAAUGAUGUUGAGACCACAGAAAGCACUUCUACAAUAUAUAUAUGAUUAGUUAAGCUGUUUUUAUUACAUCCCGUCAUGUUUCGUAUUCGUAUCUCGUGAUUCCUGUUUUAUGUUGAUACACACCCCUAUCUUUUAUGUCUGGUUUAUAGACCUUAAUGAUGAAUAUGCAAUAUUCAUGCAAGCCAAUACACAAAGUCCCCAUCGGUUCUAUCAAAUCCUGUUCAAACAGCUUGGGACUCAGCAUUUCAACCAAGACCAUUGUGACAUGUAAACUGAGGAAGCUCCCAUUAGAACUACCAACCAUCCAGAUGAGAGAGGGCUGACUGUAGGGCUGACUGUACCACUGAGGCACAGCUGCUCUGGAGUUUGUCCAAGCACAACAUCAAUUAAAGCUGAGUUUUUUGGUUGUUGUUUUUCCAGAUAAAACAAAGUAAAAAAAUCACAGAGCCCUGCUUUUUAUUCUCCAUAUUAACUUCUCUUAGUUUCGUUCUGAUUAGUGGAUCUUAUCACCCCGUACUCUUGAGAUAAGAGUGUCCAUUAAGAAUUGUAGACAGAAUUCCCCAGAGCUGACCAGUGAAAACAAUUAAUCUCACAGGCAUUUUUUUUUUGUCGCAGCUGGUUCUAACUAUGGGGGUCAUUCACAGGUCAGGAUCUGCUCAGCCCCUCCAAUACCUCAUCUAUGGAGCUCAAACUGUCUCUGUUCAGAAGAGUUUUCAGUGGAGUUUUUAGGCCUGUACAUGAUUUCUUACACACAGUGAUAAAUGGAUGAACUCUUGAGCUUGGGUUGUCAAAUCUAACAAGUUUAUACACGCAACUCUUCUCCAGACUUUGACGUUUGAGUUUUAAACAUAAAUGGGUUAUGUGACUCACUUCCUUUAUUUGCAAAGCUGCAGCCGAUAAACCAGUGCAACCAAUACACAGGUAGAAAAUAUCCCUGAGGUGGGGAUCAGCUCCUGGUGCUCGUUCACUGAGAGAAAAUACACUGUUGACUAAAAUUUCUAACAUGGCAGAAAUUCAUCAAACUGGUUGAGAGGAGCCGAUCAGGUUGUUACUCAACUCAAAAAUUUGCUUGACCAUACACUGUUCAAUAUUUACUGCUUUUUACUAUAUGACUAUACACUGAAGAUGGCCCAUCUUUAUAGAAAACAAGCUGCAUCUCUGCCAAGAAGUCAGGAAAGUUUGGUGGAGUUUGCAGUUAUUUGUGUUUCCAUUGUCAAAAGUUGGGAAAAGUAAGUUAGUAUUUGAUCUGUACUGCCUUUCUUUGUAGCACCCAUCUGUUGGAGUCCCAGGCCUUCAAAUCUGACCCUAAACUGCAGCGAUUGUGCUUCUGUCAAACUCUCCAAUCCCGAUUUCAUUUGGUGAGUAAACUUCUGAGCCGCAUUGGAUUAAAACUCUUCAGUCUUUUGUACAUUUUUAUUCAUCAGAAAAUGCCUUUGUG
Non-coding RNA from Xyrichtys novacula (pearly razorfish), 2095 nucleotides. NCBI's taxonomy places the organism in Eukaryota, Metazoa, Chordata, Actinopteri, Labriformes, Labridae. The record is from the annotation of a GenBank genome assembly.